UACGUAGGGUGCGAGCGUUAAUCGGAAUUACUGGGCGUAGAGUGUGCGCAGGCGGCAGAGCAAGUCGAGUGUGAAAGCCCCGGGCUUAACUUGGGAAUUGCGCUCGAAACUACUUUGCUGGAGUGUGGCAGAGGAAGGUGGAAUUCCACGUGUAGCGGUGAAAUGCGUAGAGAUGUGGAGGAACACCAAUGGCGAAGGCAGCCUUCUGGGCCAACACUGACGCUCAUGCACGAAAGCGUGGGGAGCAAACAGG
This 253-nucleotide ribosomal RNA is filed under the name uncultured bacterium. RNAcentral's name for it is "partial 16S ribosomal RNA". It matches the Rfam family "Bacterial small subunit ribosomal RNA", at positions 524 to 776 of the family's 1533-position model. The record is from RNAcentral.